UGACUCUCGGCAAUGGAUAUCUUGGCUCUUGCAUCGAUGAAGAGCGCAGCGAAAUGCGAUACGUGGUGUGAAUUGCAGAAUCCCGUGAACCAUCGAGUUUUUGAACGCAAGUUGCGCCCGAGGCCAAUUGGUUGAGGGCACGUCCGCCUGGGCGUCAAGC
This 160-nucleotide ribosomal RNA is filed under the name Aulosepalum oestlundii. RNAcentral describes it as "5.8S ribosomal RNA". It matches the Rfam family "5.8S ribosomal RNA". Rfam says of the family: 5.8S ribosomal RNA (5.8S rRNA) is a component of the large subunit of the eukaryotic ribosome. RNAcentral also lists the same sequence under 2 other names. The record is from RNAcentral. Lineage: Eukaryota; Viridiplantae; Streptophyta; Magnoliopsida; Asparagales; Orchidaceae.